GAUGAACGCUGGCGGCGUGCCUAAUACAUGCAAGUCGAGCGAACGGACGAGAAGCUUGCUUCUCUGAUGUUAGCGGCGGACGGGUGAGUAACACGUGGAUAACCUACCUAUAAGACUGGGAUAACUUCGGGAAACCGGAGCUAAUACCGGAUAAUAUUUUGAACCGCAUGGUUCAAAAGUGAAAGACGGUCUUGCUGUCACUUAUAGAUGGAUCCGCGCUGCAUUAGCUAGUUGGUAAGGUAACGGCUUACCAAGGCAACGAUGCAUAGCCGACCUGAGAGGGUGAUCGGCCACACUGGAAUUGAGACACGGUCCAGACUCCUACGGGAGGCAGCAGUAGGGAAUCUUCCGCAAUGGGCGAAAGCCUGACGGAGCAACGCCGCGUGAGUGAUGAAGGUCUUCGGAUCGUAAAACUCUGUUAUUAGGGAAGAACAUAUGUGUAAGUAACUGUGCACAUCUUGACGGUACCUAAUCAGAAAGCCACGGCUAACUACGU
RNAcentral lists this ribosomal RNA (496 nucleotides) under uncultured bacterium. Its description in RNAcentral is "partial 16S ribosomal RNA". It matches the Rfam family "Bacterial small subunit ribosomal RNA", at positions 28 to 506 of the family's 1533-position model. The record is from RNAcentral.